Molecule: ribosomal RNA, 301 nt
Filed under: uncultured bacterium
Lineage: Bacteria
Description: partial 16S ribosomal RNA
Rfam family: Bacterial small subunit ribosomal RNA
Source: RNAcentral
CAGUCGCCGCGGUAAUACGAAGGGUGCAAGCGUUAAUCGGAAUUACUGGGCGUAAAGCGUGCGUAGGCGGUGAGUUAAGUCUGCUGUGAAAUCCCCGGGCUCAACCUGGGAAUGGCAGUGGAUACUGGCUUGCUAGAGUGUGUCAGAGGAUGGUGGAAUUCCCGGUGUAGCGGUGAAAUGCGUAGAGAUCGGGAGGAACAUCAGUGGCGAAGGCGGCCAUCUGGGACAACACUGACGCUGAGGCACGAAAGCGUGGGGAGCAAACAGGAUUAGAUACCCGAGUAGUCCCUGUCUCUUAUAA